RNAcentral lists this long non-coding RNA (603 nucleotides) under Gadus morhua (Atlantic cod). Its description in RNAcentral is "lncRNA (ENSGMOG00000026371.1)". Lineage: Eukaryota; Metazoa; Chordata; Actinopteri; Gadiformes; Gadidae. The record is from RNAcentral.
AUGUCUGGAUUUAGUCGUCUGCCGUCACCUCACGGACCUGGAUCUAGUCAUGUAAUUGGCGUGUCGGCACCAUUUACGGUUUGGGCUGUGGUACCACUUCUAGCUGGGAAUAAUAAUAAUAGGAAGAAAAAUCCUUACAAAAACAAUAGGGAUCCAACCUGUUGGCUUGGACCCUUAAAAAUCCUUACAAAAACAGGAGUAGCGAGAAGUCAGUGUAACGUUUUCGCAGCUAAAUUUUGUAGAAGAUAUACAAUUUCCGCAUUUAUGGCGCCCCCUAAUGGCGAAAUUUUCCGAAAUUUUUAUCGUACGACAUUAAGGUUAGCACCAACAUGUGUGUAAAACUUGGAGUCGAUCCGAUGUGUAAUUUUGGGCGUGGCCUAUGCCAAAAGAUGCAUCAGACUCCAGUGAAUCUGUGUGUACAAGGUUUUGAAUGUGGGAGGUUCGGUGUGGGAGUUAUAGCCUCAAACGCGUAUUCCUUGGUAUAGCACCACCUAGGGGCCGGCGUGUCUGGAUUUUGUCGUCUGCGUAGUCUACACGGACCUGGAUCUAGUCAUGCAAUUGGCGUGUGUGCAACAUUUACGGUUUGGGCUGUGGUACCACUUU